Molecule: ribosomal RNA, 405 nt
Filed under: uncultured bacterium
Lineage: Bacteria
Description: partial 16S ribosomal RNA
Rfam family: Bacterial small subunit ribosomal RNA
Source: RNAcentral
GACGAACGCUGGCGGCGUGCCUAAUACAUGCAAGUCGAGCGAAGGGGGGACGGGGGAGUAAGACGGGGAUAACCGCCGUUAAGACUGGGAUAAAGUGGGGAAACAGGUGCUAAACCGGAUACUUAGAGGUGGAUGCGCGCUGCAUUAGCUGGUUGGUAAGGUAACGGCGUACCAAGGCAACGAUGCAUAGCCGACCUGUGAGGGUGAGAGGCCACACUGGAACUGAGACACGGUCCAGACUCCUACGGGAGGCAGCAGUAGGGAAUCUUCCGCAAUGGGCGAAAGCCUGACGGAGCAACGCCGCGUGAGUGAUGAAGGUCUUCGGAUCGUAAAACUCUGUUAUUAGGGAAGCGGUACCUAAUCAGAAAGCCACGGCUAACUACGUGCCAGCAGCCGCGGUAAUAC